This 4055-nucleotide long non-coding RNA is filed under the name Solanum tuberosum (potato). Its description in RNAcentral is "long non-coding RNA (STUB_LNC010152)". The record is from RNAcentral. Lineage: Eukaryota; Viridiplantae; Streptophyta; Magnoliopsida; Solanales; Solanaceae.
UUUUUGAAUACUUACAAGAUUAAAAUUGAUAAGUUUAUAGUUAAGGUACUAAAACCGGUAAGUAUAAUUCAUUUUCUCCACUGUGCUCCUUAUAUCAGGAGUAACGACUACUCUGUUGCACACGUCAUUUGGUUGGAGAUUGCCUUUAAUACAGGGCCCUUCAUUUGUUUAUCUUGCAAUAAUAGCGGAAGAAAUAUAUGUUUCAAAGCUCCUUCUUGCUAUGUUAUCGAGUAGUACUUAGCGAGCAUCCAUGUGGAUCUGGCAAUUUCUCAGAAUCUUGUUGAAUGGCAGAGUCCUUUUCCUUUCAACUAAAAUUCACCAGUAUGCUACUUUAAAUAUUGCAUUGUUCUUUGAUUCCGCACUUUAAUGACGAUUAGCAGCACACUUUUUCUACCCGUAGAUAGUGUGGGAUAUGAAUUGUUAAAUAAGGAGUAACUUGUAUGGCCUCAAGUACCUUAUAAGCAAAGCAGUGUUUGCUUGUUUCUACAGAUGAAAAUUGAUUGAGGAGGAUCUUACCCCCAAUAUUCUUCAAGAAGCUAAUAAGAAACAGAGGCGCUGUGAACUCUUAAAGCAUAUCUUAUUAGACAAAGUUUCAUUUUUCACGUUUAGAUAUGUUAGUUGUUUGGAUGAUGUGUUCUGUUUUCCAUUUGGAAAAGAUGGAAACUCCCUCUCUAUUUUAUGCAAUAGGCAAAUUUCUACACAACAAAAGAGAGUGAGCACAAUAUUAAUUGCAUCUCUUAACUUCAUUCUCAAGAUGCAGUGAGUUGCAAGUGCUUCCAAAACUUAGUAACACUGUGCUGUUGCACCUCUUCUGUAGUACCGAUAAAUUACUUUACCUUUGCAAGUAUGCUUCCUCAUGAAAGAUACAUAUCUUAGCAUCUGUUUGAAUGAUCUGAUCAUGCAAUAUUAUUGGGUUGUUAGUUAUGAUCCGCAUAUCCAACACUCCAUCUUCAAAAAGUUUUUCAAUUGCUAAAUGUGGUUUCAUUACUUGUAGACACUGUUCAAAUAAAAAUGUUAAGCAAAUUUCCUAGGAUGUAAUAAUGAACAUUGUUUAAGAAUGACUUCUACGAGCAUUAUUGAUGGAUAUGAGAGUUAUUUUCUAUUACAAAGCUACAAAUCUUCUUUGACCAUAUUAUCCUAUGCCUUUUUAGUUAAGAGUAACAUAUGAGAGUUAUAUGUCAAGUGAAUAAUUGAGAGCACUAUCUUUGGCAAAACACUAACACAGACUCAUUUUCUUGUAGAUAGAGACACAUCCCUUCUAAAGGGUUUAUUUUGGAUUUCAUAUCUAAAAUUUGAGAUUGUUUAGAGGUAAUCUUGAGUAGAUAAAAAUUGAAUAAGCAGUGUAUAUUUCAUGCAUAGUUAAGUUAUUUUUUAGUUUUUUGAGUGUAUCAUAAUGAGUAGUCAGUAAUGUUCUUCCUCUUUCCUCCUUUUGGCAGAUUAUUAGUAAGAGAUUAGGAAUCAAGCAAAUGAAAGUUGCUAGGAUCUUCUCAAACCUGCUCUUCUUCUUUUUACUCAAACCGGAAAAAGUAGACGCAAGUCUUUGCUAUUUUCAUCUUUUCAGCAGGCUAUCGCCAUUUUUAGGUAUGUUUACUCUUCCUUCAAUGUUCUUCGACUUCAUCUUAUUCUUUAUGUUUCUCUUUUUUUCCCUUUAUAUGUACAAGUUUCCUUCAGUUCUUUUCGUUUCGCAAGCAAUUUUAGUAUGAUUUCCUUUCCAGGUUUGUCCAAAUUUCUUUUUGUUCUCUUUCAUUUAUAUAUAUAUAUAUAUAUUCUACAAGUUCUUUCAAAAGUUAGUUACAAUAUUUGGAAUCAUGUGAGUAUCACUUACAAAUGUACAUUUUAUGUUUCUUUAUGUAUAGGAGGUUGUUGCUUCCUCUGAAUAAGCGGCUCAUAUUGCUAUUCUUCAUUCUAGAAUUAACUGGGUAAGUUUUGAUGUACUAACCUUGUAUAUUUGGAUUUAUUUUGUUAAUUUCCAUAGUUUUGUUACACUUAAUUAAAGCCUAUUGCUGAAAAUGCUUUCUUUCUCUCUUGGUACUAAGACAAGUAUUUUUGGUUGCCAACUCUUUGUUGUUGGUCUUGACUACAUAAAUUCGACUUAUGUUGUUGCUUUGCAACCUGGAACAAUACCAGUCUUUACGUUCAUACUUGCUUUACUCAUGAGGUCAGUAAACAUUUCAUCUCUCGAUUAUGUAUCCUUGUUCCCAUCACUCCUAUUUCUUGCAUGACCUGUGAGUUGAGUGAAUCUUUUGUUGCUAAACUUUGUGAGAUGUGAAAGAUCAAGUUCUAUCAAGUAUAAGUGUUGUAUUUUAAUACCAAACUGUUUUGUGCUUUAAAUUGGAGCAACCACAAAUACUUUAUUUUUGUGCAUAGAAUGAGAGCAUUGCAAUCAAUUCGAGAAUGUAUAUCCUUCUAAUUGAUACAAUAUGACCUGAGAUAAGUCCCUAUUUUUGUUGAAAUGGACUUUCUAAGGAACAAAAUAUCAGAAAUUCAGGAACAAAUUAAAUCCGAGAUAGAGGAGGUAAUUCAUCUAAUUCCAGAAAAAAUGCUGCAUAUAGUUUGGUCAUAUAUGUGCCACAUAAAAUGGGAUGGAGGGAGUACUUAAAACGAGGGGUUGGGUUGUUACAUAUAGUUUCUCUUAUGAAGAGCUUUAGGUUUUUCCAUUUCCUAAUCACUUUUUUUCCUCUUUGUUUUGACAGUUGCGACUACUAUUGGGUCUGUGUUGGCUUUUUGGAUGGUUCCGAUGCAAACACUUGAUUAGGAUGGCUAGAAGAUAGCUACCGCUCUUAUGGGAAGACACAUAAGUCCGCUUCCUAAGUCAUUUUUCUUUAACAACAACAUUUCAAGUACUUGCUAUGAUGCUUAUUUCUGGAAGUAUGUUGACUUCUCUUCAUUAAUUGUUUGAGCUGUCUUACAGUCCUCCUGUGACGGGUUAUUGAGUAAUGUAGAAUUGUAAGUUUACUCUCUUAUGUAAGUUUGCUCUCUUAUUUAGUUGUGUUCAUUAUUGUCCCUUUCUCUUCCUCAUGAUGAACAAGUAUUAUGCUUCUGUUCAAUGUUUUUUGUUCGACCACUGUUGUGGACAUGAAAAUAAUUACAUACGCAAUUAGAUAAAAUGAGACUAGAAUUUCACUUUAAAAUGCCUAAAUUAUAUCCCUAAAGUGUUUGUACUUUGUGGAUUUAUUGAAAGUUGAAACUCUGAUGGAGUAUCGUUUUCUCAGUUUAAUCUUGAGAUGACAUCAUUUUUUUAGUUUCUAACUAGACCUAACAACUUCUCCUCCUCUUCUCUUUCGUUUAUUGAUGCUUUAAGUUCUUUUUGGUUUCAGCUCUCCUUUUCAUUGGAUUAGCUUGAUUUUUAUUUCAAUUUUCCUGCUUUAUGUAGUGCUUGUGUUGUAGUCUUGUUGCAUGUACUGAGUUAUACUUCAUUAGCUGUUUUCGAGGGUUGUUGGUGUUUUUUGAUAUACGUGCAUUUAUUCUCUAGCCAAUUUUUUAGGUUCACUCCAAAAACAUCUUCGUCUCUCUUAACUCAUCCCAAGAAAAAAAUAAAAUCCACCAUUUAUAGUGGAAUUUUCAUCAAUUUCAUUUGCUAAUCGGUUGAGUGGACAAAAAGAUCAUUUAAAACUAAAUAAUAUCUUCCUACGGGAAUCUCAGGUACUACCACUUCAGCUGGGCAAUACGGUGUAAUAUGCGAAGCAGUUGAGCCAUAGUUCUUCGAUCGUUAUAUUCUUGCGAUAGCGAAGGUGUGGCUCAUCCUCUAAGAGAGAGUAGAUGCAAAGGUUCGGAUCGAAGAUCUUCGCGAGACAGCCCCAGCACUAUAGCAUGUCAGGAAUAAGGGGGACAUAGUGAACGUAACCACUCCCUUGAUAGGGGAGUCACGAUUGGGGGCUGUGACUCCCCUAUCCUUUCAAUUUGUUGAUUCCUGGGUCUUUUUUGUUAUCAUUGUUGGAAUAUUUUUGUUGAUAACUUGGUCAAUGCAGUUGCCCACUAUAUAGACUUGAAGACUAAAAAAUAAUUCCUUCCAUCUGAAAAUCAACAUAUUUCCCUGUUUCAUUACGAAAUCACAG